CCUACGGGAGGCAGCAGUGAGGAAUAUUGGUCAAUGGGCGCGAGCCUGAACCAGCCAAGUCGCGUGAAGGAUGACUGCCCUACGGGUUGUAAACUUCUUUUAUAAAGGAAUAAAGUGAGGCACGUGCGCCUUUUUGUAUGUACUUUAUGAAUAAGGCUCGGCUAACUCCGUGCCAGCAGCCGGGGUAAUACGGAGGAUCCGAGCGUUAUCCGGAUUUCUUGGGUUUAAGGGGAGCGUAGAUGGGUUGUUAAGUCAGUUGUGAAAGUUUGCGGCUAAACCGUAAAAUUGCAAUUGAUACUGGCAGUCUUGAGUACAGUUGAGGUAGGCGGAAUUCGUGGGGUAGCGGUGAAAUGCUUAGAUAUCACGAAGAACUCCGAUUGCGAAGGCAGCUUACUAAACUGCCACUGACAUUGAUGCUCGAAAGUGUGGGUAUCAAACAGGAUUAGAUACCCGAGUAGUC
This 460-nucleotide ribosomal RNA is filed under the name uncultured bacterium. Its description in RNAcentral is "partial 16S ribosomal RNA". It matches the Rfam family "Bacterial small subunit ribosomal RNA", at positions 338 to 795 of the family's 1533-position model. The record is from RNAcentral.